UACGAAGGGUGCAAACGUUGCUCGGAAUUAUUGGGCGUAAAGCGCACGUAGGCGGCUUAGCAAGUCGGACGUGAAAUCCCUCGGCUCAACCAAGGAAGUGCUUUCGAAACUGCUGAGCUUGAGUACGGAAGAGGAUCGCGGAAUUCCCGGUGUAGCGGUGAAAUUCGUAGAUAUCGGGAGGAACACCAAUGGCGAAAGCAGCUCUCUGGGACGGUACUGACGCUGAGACGCGAAAGCGUGGGGAGCGAACAGG
This 253-nucleotide ribosomal RNA is filed under the name uncultured bacterium. RNAcentral describes it as "partial 16S ribosomal RNA". It matches the Rfam family "Bacterial small subunit ribosomal RNA", at positions 524 to 776 of the family's 1533-position model. The record is from RNAcentral.